AGUGAACGCUGGCGGUAGGCCUAACACAUGCAAGUCGAACGGCAGCACAGUAAGAGCUUGCUCUUACGGGUGGCGAGUGGCGGACGGGUGAGGAAUACAUCGGAAUCUACUUUUUCGUGGGGGAUAACGUAGGGAAACUUACGCUAAUACCGCAUACGACCUACGGGUGAAAGCAGGGGAUCUUCGGACCUUGCGCGAUUGAAUGAGUCGAUGUCGGAUUAGCUAGUUGGCGGGGUAAAGGCCCACCAAGGCGACGAUCCGUAGCCGGUCUGAGAGGAUGAUCAGCCACACUGGAACUGAGACACGGUCCAGACUCCUACGGGAGGCAGCAGUGGGGAAUAUUGGACAAUGGGCGCAAGCCUGAUCCAGCCAUACCGCGUGGGUGAAGAAGGCCUUCGGGUUGUAAAGCCCUUUUGUUGGGAAAGAAAAGCAGCAGGUUAAUACCCCGCUGUUCUGACGGUACCCAAAGAAUAAGCACCGGCUAACUUCGUG
RNAcentral lists this ribosomal RNA (492 nucleotides) under uncultured bacterium. RNAcentral describes it as "partial 16S ribosomal RNA". It matches the Rfam family "Bacterial small subunit ribosomal RNA", at positions 29 to 507 of the family's 1533-position model. The record is from RNAcentral.